This 253-nucleotide ribosomal RNA is filed under the name uncultured bacterium. RNAcentral's name for it is "partial 16S ribosomal RNA". It matches the Rfam family "Bacterial small subunit ribosomal RNA", at positions 524 to 776 of the family's 1533-position model. The record is from RNAcentral.
UACAGAGGUGGCAAGCGUUGUUCGGAAUUACUGGGCGUAAAGGGCGCGUAGGCGGCCAUCUAAGUCAGACGUGAAAUCCCCAGGCUUAACCUGGGAACGGCAUCCGAUACUGGAGGGCUUGAAUUCGGGAGAGGGAUGCAGAAUUCCAGGUGUAGCGGUGAAAUGCGUAGAUAUCUGGAGGAAUACCGGUGGCGAAGGCGGCAUCCUGGACCGAGAUUGACGCUGAGGAGCGAAAGCUAGGGGAGCAAACGGG